Molecule: non-coding RNA, 3733 nt
Organism: Aegilops tauschii subsp. strangulata
Lineage: Eukaryota; Viridiplantae; Streptophyta; Magnoliopsida; Poales; Poaceae
Source: RefSeq, a predicted model, not a curated record
ACAAGCGGUGGUAUAUAUCUACGCAAGUGAUGAUCUGUUCUGUGUGUUUUCUGCAGGGUUCCAACUGAUGUAUGCUUCGGAUCUGGUGCAUAUAUGCCUCGGAUCCUACAUGCAGCAGGUCUUUGAAUAUGUAUAUAUGUGUAUGUAUGUAUAUCUGGUGAUGUGUUCCUUGCCGUGAUCUUUGUCAGGUGAGCAGUCCUUCGCUGUUCCGGCCUCUGCUUCGUUGUCUGUUCGACCUCGAUCGAUCUGCACAACUUUUUGUCCAUGAAUUUUUGUGAGCCAAGAUGAACAUGUGUGAAGCAUUUAGAUGCAUGACAACUGCACAAACUGAAUAAUUUAAAAUUUAACCGAUAUAUAUUGCUGACAAUGAGGUGGGUUGACAAAAAACAAAAAGUUCAAAAUCGUCUACUCCUUAGCUCAAAAUUCUCUGGAAGAUAUUUAGAAAGCACAAACACGUUAUUAUGAUGCUUUGCAAAUAUCUUGCUAGAGAAUUUUCAGCUAAGAAAUACUCCCUCUGUAAACUAAUAUACGAUGCCUUAGAUCACUAAACUUUAGUGUUCCAAAACGUCUUAUAUUAGUUUACAGAGGGAGUAGAGUUUUUAGUGAUGUAAAACGUCCUAUACUAGUUUACAGAGGGAGUAAAAGAUUUGAAUCUUGUGUCUAACUACAUAUCAAUCGACAGUGGAUCAUAAAUGCAUAGUCUGAGAACAAUAUGUGCACUCAAUUUUUUUUCUCACAUUAGCAAUUACUACACAGCAAAAAAGCAAUUGUCGUCAAAAGAAUUAUUUCAAUUUGUCAAGUAAAAAUGUACAUACAUAUAAUAAAAUCUAGCCGCACAAAUGAAAAGGUCACCUAGCUAGUUAAGUAUGAAUAGAAGUGAGAACUGGGCUGUUUCUUCCUUUUGUUUUCUUGGAUUGGAUCUAGAAUUGAAAGUUUUUUCUUCAAAAUAAUAAUAAUAAUAAUAAUAAUAAUAAUAAUAAUAAUAAUAAUAAUAAUGUUUUACCUACGCGAAGGCUAUAAACAUUCAUCUUUCAGCACACCACAACAUCGAUUAGAUGGCACUUUACCUAUCGGGAAAAAUAGCCUAUAUUGGUAAUGCCGUGUCCAAACUGGUUAUCAAGUGUGUGGACAUUUUGAGCUCUUUUUAGACACACCAUGUUCGUAGGUAUAAUAUGUUGAGUAAGGGUAGUUGAGAAAUCCUAGGCGUUGGCUGUCAAGGAUAGUAAAAAUGAUAUUAACUCUCCAUAAUCUUGCUCAAGAAUCUAAUUGCCUUGACAUACAUGCAUACAUAUAUCUGCACAUUUUUCUUAAGGAAAUAUAUGUGCACAUUACCUAUAUACAUUAAUUACAUAGAAACCCAAAUAGCUCCCUAGGUUCACCGAGUCUGCAUUUCCAACAUAUAAAAAACCACAUUUAAAAGUCCAAUUUUCCAGCAAACUUGACACACGUACAUAUAAAUGUGCACCAUUUGUGAUACAGAUCCACACGUUCAUCUCUUUUUUUAGUAGUACACAUGCAGAUAUUCCUACAUGCAAAUUUGCAGAUAUGUAUUGCAUGUUAUUAACAUGUUUACAUAUGUGUUGACAAAAUUUCAGAACUUUCUGAAACUUCAAGUUGCAGUUUUCAAAUUUAUUAAAAUCUCAAGCCCGAAAGCCAAGAUCUGCACUUAGACGACUAAUUAAUAUAAAGAAAACAUUUUUGUCAAUUAUGCAUAAAUGGCAGCACAUGAAAAAUGUUUUACGAUGUAAAGUUUUUUGUAAUCUUUCACACUCACAUAGUCAUACUUGUUUAAUGGUCAAACAUUCAUACUAUGGAUACCAAAAAAAGUUAGAACACAUAAAUUUUGGAAGGCCUGGACUAUUACUUAGAUACAUAUAGUUCUACUACUCCAAACAUUUACCACACCCUCCCUACAUAUACACCUUCCUGAACACAUAAAAUCACGCUUAUGUAUAUUUGUCUUAGAUCCUUAACCAUGCAUGCACCUAGUUAAAGUCAAAACAAUCUAGUUGUAAUUUGCAAUUAAAUUAAUAUCCAGCAACGGUUCUAAUUUUUUUUGACAAAGUAUGGUGCAUAUCGAAGAGAGGUCGAAUGGGCUGCGAAGUUGAGGUUGACGCUGAAGGACUGUCUAUUUGACAAGGCCAGGUAUGGAACAAAACGUCACCAUGGGUGUGUGCGAGGAUCUCCAUGGAUACUGAGAUUCCUCGAGAUCAAAGUUGGAGUUUGAGAUACUUCGGAACUAAAACGAUGAGGUUCAGUAAAUUGCAAUUCUGUUAUGGCUUGUCCUUUUUGCCAUAUGCCUGGUGGCCCAUGUUCUUCUGUUGAUUCUUCUAUAGAUGGGUUCAGUGUGGUCCUGGAUCGGCGUUGUUGGAGGCGUGUUUACGUUCCGUGCAGUGUUAGAGCUCAUCUUGCUUGUUACAUCGAGGAGUGUAGGGCUUUAGCCAUAAGGAGGGGUGACAAAUAUACUGAUGUUGCUCUUCAGUGCAAUGAGGGUUAUUUGUAUGGUGUUCUGUUUAGUCAUGGUCGGGUGAGGAGCAAAUUCCAUGGUCCUUCCUGGGAACGAUUGGUCAAGAUUAUGGUGUUCGUCCUCGUGAUAUAGUGACCAUUAGGCUUGAACAUUAUGGAACGUGGAUUGGUAUUGAUUUUUAUCGUGUUGGUCGUGGAGAUGCGUUGUCCCCUUUACUGUCUGUUGGUAAGGUAUAUUUUUAAGUAAGUUUUUAGCUUGUUUUAUUGUACAUGAUGAUUUUUCUGUUCCCUUGAACCUGUGUAAUUAUAUUUUGUAGCUAUUGAUGGUUUGAGCGACUCCGAGAUGGAACUUGUUGGGAGUUGUUAUUAAACCCGUGGUGUUUUGCUUAAUUAUCAGCAGAUGUAUUUCAUGAGGUGUCAACUCUUUGAUGAUGACUACAUACCCUGUUGUCCUUUUGUUCACAGGAUUGAUUCCAUGAAUGUUAAUGGUCAUCAUAUGGUUAUUCCUGGUAUUGUUGUGAGGAGUUUGAAGGAGUUUGUGACUUUUCCUAGGACUGGCGUUUUAACUCUUGAAGUUACUUUGGAAUCUGGUGAUGAUGAUAUAUAUGUGAGCACUCCUUGCUCCUACUUCAUUGGCUUGGGUAAUAUAAUGGAGUUCAAACAGGAAGGUUUCAGUGAUUUUCUCCAGGCAUCGUCUAUUGAAGUAAACAGCUUGGUGCUGAUAACUUUCAAAGAGCAUGAUGGGAGGCUUGUUGUUAUCUUCAAUCUUCUACCGCAGUGAUGUUAGUUAUAGCCUUUGAACAUAAUGGAUUUUGUUUAAAAAUUUAUGCUAUGGUUUAGUGUUAUUUAGAUAUAUGAAACGAUAUGAACCUAACUGUUCAUUUUUUUGCUGUUGUUCGUUUAUAGAAGAGGAAUGGCUGUGCAUCUCUUUUAACGAUGUUUUUUUGGACGAAUGUUAUUUAAUUGGGGUCAUAGUUAUAAAUACAGUAGAGGCACGUGUGUUGUUUACUCUGAGGCACGACUGUGCAUCUCUUUUAUGUGAGGCACGUGGAUUGUAGUCAGUACAGGCACAGUUGUGUGUGGAGGCACGUGUAUACUGAGAGGAACGUGUGUGCAGCACCAAAGUUGCACGGGCGAUGAUGUGUGCGGAGCACGUAGAGUUACUGUGGUUUUAUGUGAGGCACGUGGAUUCAGCAAACGGACGCACGGAAUUGCAGUCAGUACAUGCACGGUUGUGUGGAGGCACGGGUAUACUAAGAGGAACGUG